CCUACGGGUGGCAGCAGUGAGGAAUAUUGGUCAAUGGACGAAAGCCUGAACCAGCCAUGCCGCGUGCAGGAUGACGGCUCUAUGAGUUGUAAACUGCUUUUGUAUUGGGGUAAACACCCAUAUGUGUAGUGCCUUGGAAUUAUAUUACGAAUAAGGAUCGACUAACUCCGUGCCAGCAGCCGCGGUAAUACGGAGGAUCCAAGCGUUAUCCGGAUUGAUUGGGUUUAAAGGGUGCGUAGGCGGUUUGGUAAGUUAGAGGUGAAAUACCGGUGCUCAACACCGGAACUGCAUCUAAUACUGUUGAGCUAGAGAGUAGUAGCGGUAGGCGGAAUGUAUGGUGUAGCGGUGAAAUGCUUAGAGAUCAUAAAGAACACCGAUUGCGAAGGCAGCUCACCAAAAUAUAACUGACGUUGAGGCACGAAAGCGUGGGUAGCAAACAGGAUUAGAUACCCCAGUAGUC
Molecule: ribosomal RNA, 460 nt
Filed under: uncultured bacterium
Lineage: Bacteria
Description: partial 16S ribosomal RNA
Rfam family: Bacterial small subunit ribosomal RNA
Source: RNAcentral